CAGCCUCAUCAGUGAUUCUUUAUUUUGGGUAUAUGGUAGAAUAUGGCACCUGGGAGAGUUUUCAAAAAGUACCAAAGCUUGAGCUACUUCUUGGUGAGCAAGGACCUUAAAAAACUCUCGAGCAAAAAUGGGAUGCCUUCUAGGAGGGUGAGACGCUGUCAGAGUCUCUCCUGCCCCAAGGACCCAGACUGAUCACCAACGUUCAUGGCACAAAUUGGCUAUAGGGGCUUCCAGGCCGAAUGCUCCCUAUUAGCAUUGGGAGAAUAGGCACUGAACCUGCCAGAUGAUGAAGCAGAAGUGACCUCCCUAGAAAAGCUCCUCACCCCUCAGAAAUGAUUUCCUACCUUGAGAAUUGAUACUUGAAAUUUCACAGUUAGAUGGCCACACCUUUUCCAGAAGCUUUAGUUUCUUCAAAAAUAGAAGUGUCUCUAAGGAGUUACAAUAAAAUUUACUGGUGAUUUGUAUCAUUUGGGGCUCAUCUCCUCAUAGCAGGUUUUGAAAGGGGUGAGCAAGGUAAGUUUAUGAGACUAUUGGAUUCUCCUAAUGAGCAUUGGAAAAGGUGCAAGAAUAGAAGCCUGUAUUUGGCACUUCUGAGCAUGGGUCUGCAGCUCACCCUAAAAGUGGAGUUGGUCCCUUAUUUUAAAAUCACUUAAUGCUCUUUGUAAUGCUAUCAUUAUAGGGAUGAUGCUCUUUCUUCUAGUUUUGAACUCUCUGCUGUCUAGAAACUUUUUCAUGUCAAAAGUUCACAUUGUUCAUUCAUAUCAAAAGAACCAAAUGAGAUACAAACAGAAAAAUACAAUUUAUAUGGCAGAAGUGGGAAAAAUCAUGGAAAUUCCUCAAAAAGCGAGUAGCACAGGUCAGGGUGGCAUUCCUUGUACGCUUUCAUACAAGAUGUUUUGUAUCAUUCUCGCUUAGAAACAUAAGCACCUGUCCUCAGAGAGGCUGGUCAGGGAUGGUUCUGCAGAGCACUUAGCACAUUCUGAGUGCUCUGUAAAUGUUGAGGCUAUGAGGUAAUCUUCAGAAGAUGUCUCCUCAGAGGAAGGUGCUAUGCAAAUACUAGUAUUGUUAUUCUUUUAGCACAAAUAUAUAAUUGACUUUCUGUUAAACAUUGCAGCAAGUUAAAUUAAUUCGGUAUGAUUACAGUCAUUAAACAAAUGCCUGGUAAUGACUGCCUUCUUAUUUUAGCAAUUCCUCAGACCACUGGGGUAAUACCGUACAAGACUUUUGUUCCAUUGUCAGAUUAAUUGGGUUGUACAACCUGCGUUUCACGAUAGAGCGUGCACACUGCCUUACAGCAACCGGACCAUGAUUUAAGCCUAGUGCUGAACUAAUUUACCUUCCAGUUUUCCCUAUUGCUCUUGCCAUUCCGUUAGGUACAAUUGACUAGUUCAUUACAGCAUACAAGUAGCUUAAGGCCAUUUCUACCUGUUAAAAAAGAAGUGUGCUUUUCAAACCAAAAUGUGGGCAGGAAUUCUCCCACAAUCAUUCUCGCAACGUUGAAACCAGCCAAAGCGAGAGGGACAGUGGCUUUAACCUGUGCUCGCGUGGGGGUGGUCACCCUAAGAAUUACCUGCCAUCUUAGCAAGCAGGACAGAAACAGUUAAGUCCUAAAGGCUGUGAGUUAAAAACUCUGUCUGAGAGAAAAGCAACGUAAGAUGUCCCUGCCAGGUGUGGAUGGAGAAAGACUGCACUCCUUAAGCCUCUCUUUCCACUGAAGGUCAUCUGUCUGGUGCCACCUUAGAAACUGGUUCUGCAGAGGACAUUGAAUGAUAACACCCCGCAAGUCAGCUGACUGCUGUGUCAGAGCUGCUGCUUUCUGCAUUAUCGCAACUGCCAGCUCCAGCUCCUGCAGUUUCCCAGUCGCAAUGCAGCAAAGCAGAGGCAGACAACUAGGCACAAAGCAACAGAGUUUUAAAGUUUUCUUCUCCUGCUACUACUUAGCAUGUCUUGCAUGAGGAGUAUUUACCUUUGUUUAGCCAGGAGCAGAGAUGCAGCCUGAAUGUACACGAUGGCUUCUAACUUGGCAGCGCGAAUUUUCAGCUGAGCAGGUACUGCUCGGAGACUUGUAACCAAACUGCUUCUGAUGGAGCACGGCUGGUUUCCCACCAUGUGUGUGAAUAGUUUGGGGGCUUCUUAUGCCACGCUGCUCUAUCUGCAGGAAUAAAGGCUAGGACAAAGGAGAGGAUGCUUGCCAUGGUUUGUCUGGCUGGGGCCUGUGCGAGCGACUCACCGCACUGAUGCUGUGUGACUCCCCAGCUCACAUUUAAGGCUGGUCACGGGGCUGGCGCAGAUCCCCACUCCUCAGUUAGAGCACGGUUUAAAGGAGAAACCAGACUCCCUGAUCUAAAUCUUUCCCAGUCCUCUCUGGAUGCGGGACAGCUGUCGACUAGCAGUGACACAACCAGCCAUCAAGUGGAGAAUCCUUGCGACUGCAGUCUGUGUGCAGGUGGAGCCCGGGAGAAUGACAGUCUAAUUUCGGUCAUCCAAUGGCUUUUUCUGAUUUUCCUAAAUAAUCGUGCUCGCUAAGUAUACAGUUGUCUGGAUUAGCCUGCCUGCCAUGCAGUCCUCAUCAACUCUGGCUGGAAAUCAGGGUGCCAGGCAAGCCGCCUUUAGCUCUGGCUUCUUUCUGCGUGAUGCUAUGCAGCUAGGAUGGGUCACGCUGACAACAAAGAAGGAAGCAGAAAGCAUCACUUUCUCUUCUCUUGUGAUGUUAGCGGAACAUAACUCUUCUUCGCAGUGAUGCCCUCCUCUCUCUCUCUCUCUCUGUGUGUGUGUGUGUGUAUGCGUGUUUUAAUUCAUCUAAUCGAAGAGCCUAGCAAACAUCAUCAUGGACGUGGUUUUUAAUGAUUUGGAAAAAGCAAAAAAAAGACAGCCUGUGGAGACAGCGAUUCGAAACAGCGGCACAUUUAGGUUAUUGCCAAUUUGAAAUACUUGGUUUGUGAAGCUGAGCCCUAAGGGACAAGCUCGGUAACUGAGGAAGAGAUCGUAGAUAAAGAAAUAAAAAUGACAAGCGUAAUGGAGGCUCUGCGAAGGGACUGUCAGAGCAUCAGUUCAUGGAUGGCAAUUUCGCCAGGCUGAGAUUGAAUAAUUCAUAGAUUGAAAUUACCCUGCUUUCACCUUUCCAUUUAAACCGGCACGAUCUGAAUCUCUAAUAAAUUUUCAAGAUAAAGUAAAAUGCCAAUUUGAAUCUGAAGAGCUUUUAAAACCAGAUGCUGCAUCCCUGCAUCUUUCGGUAUCUUUCACAAUUAUCCUAUGAGAACAGCACUUCAUCACGAAGCACCAUUACCAGGGAAAAUUACUGUGAUUACAAUAGCAACAAUAGAAUACCAUCAAAUGAUCUCUAAUUUACCUAAUUUGCUAAGACUGACUGUGUGGUUUUGAUAUCCAUUGUAUGUCACCAUGCCCGGCACCCGUGAAGCUAUCUCGCGCUGGAACAAAAGUGGCAUCGUGUGUGUGUGUGUGUGUGUGUGUGUGUGUGUGUAUGUGUGCAUGCACAUCCUGCUACCUUAACUGUGAAAGCCUGGCAAAGAAUAUUCUCCUAGGUUACCAUAUUUCUUUCCUUUGGUUCACAUUUUUGCUUUUUUCCAGUGCCUCUACCCCAAACGUGUUUGGGGAAAUGGAGAGCCUGUCAUGGAUGACUGUUUUUUGAUACAGAAGAGCAUUGAUUUGUUAAUUUAUAUACCCACUUUAUUUUAAUGUCUACAAGCAUGUGUUUACUAAAAGGGAGGUAGGAUGCUGUUCUGGGAGAGUAGUUUUAAAAUGCAGCCGAGAUGUAGCAUAUGUGUUUGUUUCUUCCUUGAAACGCCUGUCUGUCUCUUUCAGGUUAGAAAUCCUUUCCGGGAACUUUAGUCCUGGUGUGAUGUGUCAGAAGCCUCUCAGAUUGCAAAGAAGCUCGGGAGAGACAAUCAGUAAUAACUCUAUACAGCUUUUAUUAAAAGCAUGCAUGUUCAAUUCAGUGAUUAAAUGAAGCUUCGGUACAACUUUGGCUAUGUUUAUGCCUGCUCACUCUGGAGUAAAAGUCUGUACUAAAGAGAACUUUUUGGGACAGGCUGCACGGUUCAUCUCAGGGUAAUUGUGCCAUCCUGAGAAGGUGGCAUGGAUCAUAAAUCCUCCCUGGAGAACAGACUGUAAUCAUUAAUAGGCACAAUGGCUUCUGGAAUUUUACUUUCAAUAGUAUGAAGGUAGUAUGUGGGUUUCUGCUAGUCAAGUGAUUUAAGUGUGGUUAUCUAAGGUAGGGCUUCGGAGGUAUGACAACCAUCUGGGAGGAAGGUAGGUUUGAAACACACCUUUCUAACGUUCUGGGGUUUUUGCAUGAGAUCCUUAACUCUGAUACGUUCCUCAAUCCAUUAUCACAGCUUUACCCCUUCCCUUAUCCUGUGACCCAACAAAUACCGUUGUCAGAGCAGGUUGAGAUUUGCAUGCAGUAUUUCCAGAAUGUUGAAUAUCAGCACGGAUCACUGCAAAGAAGUUGGAACUCAUCCCACAUGAAUUUCUCAGGUUCUCUUACAAGACCACCAACAUUCUUCAAACGUUAGUGAAAUAAAACAGCAGGAGGGUUUGGAACUCUGGAUCCUCAGCCUGGAUGUGUCACAAUUUAAUCCUAAAGAUCUGGCUGCAAGACCUGUGAGAACACUUGGAUAAUGCGAUCAACCUUCCUUGGCAUCGUGAGGGAGAAAUCUGGACACAGAGACAUGCACAUAAGCCUUCAGAAGGAACCAACCCUUCGAAACGCCAAGGCUGGUGGAUCGCUUGAGGUCAGGAGUUCGAGACCCGACUGGCCAACAUGCAUGAAUAAGAGCCCCCAGAACCGACAGUGCUUUGAUGAACUGCCGCCUUUUGAACAAAGUACUAGAUGGUGAACCUGCCCUGAAAGUUUCCUUCGAGUUGUCCUGCUCAAAUGAUUGUGGGUAUAAGAACUAAUAUUUGAAUAUUACUUAUUCUGGGUCAAAAAUAUAAAAGGAAUGAGUUACUUUAGAUGUUGUCACAACUUUGGAGCCCGUGCCACACUGCAGCAGGUGCAGAUUCUCACAUAGAGAGAACUCUUCUGUGAGAAGACAGCACCAGUAGAAUUCUAAGCAGGUUGGAAACACGCAUAUGCUGCCUCUUGCUGAAGAUGUGUGAAUGAACCAGCACCCAGUCAUCAGCCUCCUUGUCCUUCCUUUCUUAAAGUAAUUUUCAAGACAAGCUCAAACAGUACUCUCACAGUUGGUUACUAGAGGAGUUAAUGACUCCAAGCUCAAAAGGAAUGACUUUUUCUGAAUUUUCCAUUUGACAAACAUCUCCCUAAGGCGACAGCUUUUACCCCCUGCCUACUCCCCUAGUUGAAGUUAGCGACCGUGUAUUAAUUAGUUGAAGCCUAAUCUCAGGAAGCACUAACACUUGCCCUUUCUUCUUAAGCACACUAAGUGUGCGUUAGAAGGCAAGUUCAGUCUAAAUUACCUGGAAGUCUCUUGUUAGGCACACUGAAAGCUUCCUGCUACAUAUUUUUUACAAGGUACCCAAAUUAAGGACCUUUCAUCUCAGUAGGAAUGACUCUCUAUGAAGGCAGUUAUUUGCCUACAUGAAAUGUAGAGGUAACAAGAAUGUGUCCCUCUCCAGAGCAUUGCCUUCACUCGUCUAGAUUUCAUAACAAAGACAUCAAUUUUAGCGUUAAGCAUUGCUUUCACUUUUGCAUCAAAAUGUAAUACCGUUGAAGAACUAACCUGUGAGUCUUACUGAAUAAUAUAUAAGACCCAGUACAAAGUGAAAAUGUGGUACCCUUUGUUCAAAAAGCUAGAAAAAAGUGUCAUUAAAGGCACUAAAGUGUAAUAAAGGCUUUCCUUUUCUUCUGUGGUCUUGAAUUGUCAUGAUAUUUUUUAUAAUUUUCAAUUUAAUGUCAAGUAAAGGAAACUUAUUUUAAAAGACUAGCAUGAAUUUUACCAUUCAUCUUUAUAUGAGGCAAUGACUCUGUGUGUGUGUUUGGUUUUGAGACA
Cercocebus atys (sooty mangabey) is the source of this 5972-nucleotide long non-coding RNA. RefSeq lists it as uncharacterized. The record is from RefSeq and is a predicted model, not a curated record. NCBI's taxonomy places the organism in Eukaryota, Metazoa, Chordata, Mammalia, Primates, Cercopithecidae. The transcript is spliced from 6 exons.